GAUGAACGCUAGCGGCAGGCUUAAUACAUGCAAGUCGUGGGGCAGCAGGACUGUAGCAAUACAGUUGCUGGCGACCGGCAAACGGGUGCGGAACACGUACGCAACUUACCCUGAACUGGGGGAUAGCCCGGGGAAACCCGGAUUAAUACCCCGUAAUAUAAUGGAGUGGCAUCACUUUAUUAUUAAAGCUCCGGCGGUUCGGGAUGGGCGUGCGGCUGAUUAGGUAGUUGGUUGAGGUAACGGCUCACCAAGCCUACGAUCAGUAACUGGUGUGAGAGCACGACCAGUCACACGGGCACUGAGACACGGGCCCGACUCCUACGGGAGGCAGCAGUAAGGAAUAUUGAGCAAUGGAGGCAACUCUGACCCAGCCAUGCCGCGUGGAGGAUGAAGGCCCUCUGGGUUGUAAACUUCUUUUAUAGGGAACGAAACCUGUGUAUUCUUACGCAGUUGACGGUACCCUAGGAAUAAGCACCGGCUAACUCCGUG
RNAcentral lists this ribosomal RNA (489 nucleotides) under uncultured bacterium. Its description in RNAcentral is "partial 16S ribosomal RNA". It matches the Rfam family "Bacterial small subunit ribosomal RNA", at positions 28 to 507 of the family's 1533-position model. The record is from RNAcentral.